UAGGUAUCAGACACUGGGUGACGACAUUAUUGGUGGGCGUCGUCACACCGGAGCCGGGAGCCACAGCAUCUACACAUGGUGUUGGGAAGCUUUAUAAGACCCUCCAAGAAGUUGUGGAAAAUGGUGACUUAUCUUUUUGGAUGGUGCCAGGAUGGUACUUUGCAGCCGAAAUGACACAACCAACAGCUUGGGUGAUUUGCUGAAGGUUACAGCACAAGCAAAUGGCUAAUUACAAUACUUGAGCUCCUUCUCCUCCGCCCUGAUAACGGGGUCCGCAGCGGCCCAGAAACGUUAACGUCAGCAUUUAUGAGGACUAACUAAAGACUAAUCAGACUCAAGGCCCCAGCACUACUAGGAAGCAAUGCUUUACAUUGUAAGAUUUUAAGACCACAGCAUCAGAAAAACUCUGGACAUUCGACAUAACCUGAGGGCAACUCAGAUGGCCAAUGUCUUCUUAGAUGAUCGGAUGUUGGAUCCGCAUUCUUAAAAACUAUGCUGUUCACACAUAGCAACUGUGUAUGCACAGAGGAUUUAUUUGAUAUUUAAGUGAGUGACAGGUAAUCAGUG
Pseudophryne corroboree (corroboree frog) is the source of this 567-nucleotide long non-coding RNA. RefSeq lists it as uncharacterized. The transcript is spliced from 5 exons. Lineage: Eukaryota; Metazoa; Chordata; Amphibia; Anura; Myobatrachidae. The record is from RefSeq and is a predicted model, not a curated record.